ACUAAGAGGGAUGUACUUGCCAUAAGUACAGAGUCAGAGAAGGAAAUAUACACUGGUUGGUCUUCUGACCAUUUAUUAACUUGUGCAGGAUUUCACAAGACAGUUCUUUUAACUUGUGCUAAAUAUCUUAUACAUUGUCAGGGAGGGGGCUCUUGUGGCAUGUGGUAGAGUCGAUAAUUCUGAGUCAGGAGGACUGGGUUCAAGUUCCAUUUACUCCAGAGAAUCUGCUUAUGCCUUGCAGCUAGAUUCCCAUGACAUUACUUCUGCCUACGCGACCUCAAAUAUAUCCAGCUGGAACUGGCAACUCUGAUUACAACAUUGAGGUUUUACUGCAUUUGGACAUGGACUGCUCUUAUGUAUAUGAGUUGCGAAUGGUACUGAACAUUGUGCAAUCAUCAGCAGACAUUGCCACUUACAAUUUAAUGACGAACAGAGGCUGAUUCAUGAAGCAGCUGAAGAUGUUUGGGUCGCAGAGAUGUCCUGGAGCCGGAUGACUGAUCUCCAACAUGCCAGAGAAUAUGAAGGAAAAAUUCCAGUCACAGUAGUAUCAGGAGGAAGAAGGGUGAGAGGAACUCUGCAAAAUUAAAUCACGAGGGGAAUGGUACCAAACAAACUGCUGAAGAUGCAGGCUGACAAAUCAACUUCCCUGAUAAUGGUUCAAAUGGCUUUUCUAAUACAUUCUAGAAAUCUCAGGAAAAAUCCAAAGGGUUGGCAAAACUAUAAUGGUCAAUAUUUCUUCAAGCCUGGAAAAGGGAAGAUAUUCAGCUUUUAAAACGUACAUGUUAUCGCUAACCUUUUUCAGAAGAAAUAUGAGUAUUAGUAUGAUUAGAUAUACAUAUUUGAAAUGAAAAAUGCAACUUGGCCCAAAAUGGUACCAAUGCAUUUUGAUCGUGAUAGCAUGUGAGUAAUGAUGGAAACAAGUUCACCAGGAUGUUGUAAAUCUUCAUCAGCUUUUUAUUAGGAGUGAGGAAAUAUAAAAUUUGUUUUAUAAGAUUUUAUUCUCAUUAGAGAACACACAAAGUCAAGUGUUCAAGGACACAGCCCUAAUGACACACAGUCAUAUCAUGAUAAUAUGGAUCUGUUUAUCAAUCUGGGACCAAAAAAAUGUUAUUCAAUCACAAAUGGUUUAAUCAUUUAUAAUUAAAUGGAUACCAACAUAGGCCAAUCAUUAAGGUUAGCAAAUGGAAAACGUGAACUGCAAUCAAAAAUUAUGUCACUUAUUAGUUGUAGAUUUUUAAAAUUCCAGUAAACUAUAGAACAUGCAGAAAAAAAAAUCUACAGAAGUGCUGAAAUAUGACCUGUUUGGAAUGUUGUUCACUAGAUCAUCAUUCAAAUCUACAUUCAACAAUGCACUAUUUCUUUAUCAGGGAUAUAGAUACCCCUGACAUGACUAUAUAGUUAAAAAUAAUGUUGUUGGAACUGUAAAACAAUUCAGCUUUACCUUCUCAACCAAAGGCUGGAGCAUUUACAAAAAGUGCCUGAACAAGCACAGCAUAUUGAGAAAUAUAUCAAAAUCAACUCUGCAUUCAACUAUUAGUGGCUUGUGUUUGGGGUAAUUUGCUGCCAUGAGUCCUUCCUUCUACCAUUUUAAAUUAUACAUCAAUCAAAAUCUAAUUAAAGUCAUAAUUAAAUUAAACAAAACAAAAUAGAAUUAGCUGUCCCUGAGGGGAAAUUACAAAAUUUGUAAUUUGGAGAAACUUAGCAAAUUGAAAGAAAAAUAUUGUUUAGGGGGCUUUAUUUGUUGAAAUUAAUAAUAUGGUUUAGGCAGCCCUAUGUGGGGCUGAAAGAAAAAGAUGAGGUCAAGGGAUUACAAAAUGAAACUUACCAAAAUUAUAACAUAGUAUCAUUACAGGGGUGAUGAUACACCCCAGCACCUGUGUUCUAAUGACCUCUAUAGUGCAAGUAGACUCAGCAUUUUUCCUUUCAAUAGACACGCAAGCACAUACAUAACCACCUAACAGGGACAGACAGUGGGGUACUAUGAGCCUCUCUGUGGUCUGUUGCCUGGACCUGUUUAUUGAUGGGCACCUUGGCCAGGUCCAACAGCAGCCUCUCCAGAAGGUCCUCUGAUCUGCAUACACCCCUUCCCACAUAAUGCCCGUAAUUUUGGAGCAUGGGGCUGACGUGCAACAAAAAAAAUUAAAAGCAUUCCCUUUAAGAAACUAAGCAAGGACUGCAAACGAAAACAUUAGACAAAAACAUGUGACCCUACCCCUGUUUCAGAAGGCCCAAGUUCAAGUGACCUGCUCCAGAGGUGUGUUAUAACAUCUUUGAACAGGUUGAUUAGAAAAAUAAGUUAAUUUUUUUAAAAAAUGUAAGCAUGGAACACACAGUUUCCUCCACAAAAAGGUACAUGUGACCUAGCGCCUAAUGAAAAUAUUCAACAGUCUAUUGCAUGGACUACUGCAUACAAAACUCCCCACCCCAGAACCGAAUGGAAUGAGUGAGGACCGCCUUAUAGAGGUGCUCCACUAGGGAUCUCUAGUGCCGGAGGUAGAAAGUACUUGGGUGGCAGACAAAAGUGAAGAAGUGGAAAACAUGAAGCAGCAGCACGUAGAGGAUAUGAUCCUGUGCCGUUUUGAAGGGCAUAGACUGAGGUUCCCUCGGAUGGCUAAGGCUGUGGGUCGCUGCAACUGCAGAGAGGGUCUUGUAUAUGGGGUCAAUGACAAGGUCUGGACAAACAGAACUCAGUUCAUCCAGAAGCUGAGUGCACACCUGAGCUACCUUGAUCCCUUUUGCAUUCUCAGGAUUAAGUACCAGGGUCAGGAGGCUCUGGAUGGUUGGGCCAUGUACACGAUGUUAACUGACACUUUCAGAGACAAUUGCGCUGGCAUCAUCCAGCUCACUCCUCUGCCUCUAUUGGGACCCCAUGCAAGAUUGCACAAUUCUCCACUCAAAGAAUGUGUUACACCAACACAAUACAUGGAGCUAAUGCAACUUCAACAUCAAUUCUCUCAGAACCUUUGAAAGAAACACCAACUUUCUAACACAAAGCAAUCCUUGUAAUAUCAAAAUUAUAGCAACAAAAUAUAAUUUUGUUCUGGUGGAUUAAUGCUUAAAAACCACAAAUUAUUUGCUUUCCCAAUGUUUAAGACUAAUGAGGAUAAACCAAGUGAAAUCAGCAGGAAUGACUCAAAAUCAAAAAUGAAUAUAAAAAGCAACUUGCAUUUAUAAGGUGGCUUAAAUAUAGUAAAGCAUCCCAAGGUCUUUGCAGGAGUGUUAACAGAAAAGCUUUGAGAAUAUAAGGGCAUAUUAGGAUGGAUGAUCAAAAAAAAAAUGGGGUUAGUUAAACGGAAGAGAAAAAGAGAGAAAACAGCAAGUUUAAUAUACCUGAAACACUUCCAAAAUAUGAUCUAUUUCCAAACUUCCUACAAAUCCUGCCCAUCUCUAGCAUUCAAUGAUUACGGAGAAUUUUCAAUUCUGCAUUCUGGCUGUAUUCUAUAUUUUCUAACUUUUAAGAACUACUUCAAUUUAGUUCAGAAGUCAAUGAUUACACAUAACUUGCUCCAGGCAUCUGUUCAUAUUAAACAUUAAACUGUAUUAUCAAUUGAUCUAUGAUAACAAAUUGCAUCAUCAAUGCAGCCAGAUAGGAACAUGUGAGGAAGCCGUCAUUAUGAAACAUAAUCAGAAAUUAAAAUGUUUACAGAAUGCAUAAUUACUGUCCAUUGCACCAGUUAAAUAUUUAAAAACUACCGCACGCAGAACUGUUUCUUAAGCAAGCUUAUCUCAAACUCAGUAAACAAGAAUUGCUGCCAUAACUGCUCUUUCUAACCAUGCCUGGAGGCUUAUAGGGUUUUGAAUUCAUUUUUUUAAAAACAUUCAAACUUUAAGAAAAUCAACAAUUUUUCAUAAAAAACCAAUAGAACUGCUGAUGCUGUAAUUCAGAAACAAAAACAGAAGUUGCUGGAAAAGCUCAGCAUGUCUGGCAACAUCUAUGGUAAGAAAUCAGAGUUAACGUUGGGGCUCCUGUGACCCUUCAUCAGAACAGUUUUCCAUACCCG
This is a long non-coding RNA of Rhincodon typus (whale shark), 4001 nucleotides long. RefSeq lists it as uncharacterized. The transcript is spliced from 4 exons. The record is from RefSeq and is a predicted model, not a curated record. Lineage: Eukaryota; Metazoa; Chordata; Chondrichthyes; Orectolobiformes; Rhincodontidae.